UCUAAUAUGGCAGAAUAGUGCAUUGGAUUUAAACCCCAAUUAUAAAGAUUAAACUUUUUUUAGAA
This 65-nucleotide transfer RNA is filed under the name Coleoptera sp. 4 AH-2016. RNAcentral describes it as "tRNA-Leu". It matches the Rfam family "tRNA". From Rfam's summary of the family: Transfer RNA (tRNA) molecules are approximately 80 nucleotides in length. Their secondary structure includes four short double-helical elements and three loops (D, anti-codon, and T loops). Lineage: Eukaryota; Metazoa; Arthropoda; Insecta; Coleoptera. The record is from RNAcentral.